UUGGUCGAAGUUGGUUUUAAACAACAGAUUUCGGUUGAAGUUGAUUUUUUUGGUCGAUGUUGAUGGUUUUGGUCGAAGUUGGUUUUAAACAACAGAUUUCGGUUGAAGUUGAUGAUUUUGGUCGAUGUUGAUGAUUUUAGUCGAAGUUGGUUGGAAACAACAGAUUUCGGUUGAAGUUGAUGAUUUUGGUCGAUGUUGAUGGUUUUGGUCGAAGUUGGUUUUAAACAACAGAUUUCGGUUGAAGUUGAUGAUUUUGGUCGAUGUUGAUGGUUUUGGUCGAUGUUGGUUGGAAACAACAGAUUUCGGUUGAAGUUGAUGAUUUUGGUCGAUGUUGAUGGUUUUGGUCGAAGUUGGUUUUAAACAACAGAUUUCGGUUGAAGUUGAUGAUUUUGGUCGAUGUUGAUGUUUUUGGUCGAAGUUGGUUUUAAACAACAGAUUUCGGUUGAAGUUGAUGAUUUUGGUCGAUGUUGAUGGUUUUGGUCGAAGUUGGUUGGAAACAACAGAUUUCGGUUGAAGUUGAUGAUUUUGGUCGAUGUUGAUGGUUUUGGUCGAAGUUGGUUUUAAACAACAGAUUUCGGUUGAAGUAGAUGAUUUUGGUCGAUGUUGAUGGUUUUGGUCGAAGUUGGUUGGAAACAACAGAUUUCGGUUGAAGUUGAUGAUUUUGGUCGAUGUUGAUGGUUUUGGUCGAAGUUGGUUUUAAACAACAGAUUUCGGUAGAAGUUGAUGAUUUUGGUCGAUGUUGAUGGUUUUGGUCGAAGUUGGUUGGAAACAACAGAUUUCGGUUGAAGUUGAUGAUUUUGGUCGAUGUUGAUGGUUUUGGUCGAAGUUGGUUUUAAACAACAGAUUUCGGUAGAAGUUGAUGAUUUUGGUCGAUGUUGAUGAUUUUAGUCGAAGUUGGUAGGAAACAACAGAUUUCGGUUGAAGUUGAUGAUUUUGGUCGAUGUUGAUGGAUUUGGUCGAAGUUGGUUGGAAACAACAGAUUUCGGUUGAAGUUGAUGAUUUUAGUCGAUGUUGAUGGUUUAAGUCGAAGUUGGUUGGAAACAACAGAUUUCGGUUGAAGUUGA
Molecule: long non-coding RNA, 1064 nt
Organism: Anopheles funestus (African malaria mosquito)
Lineage: Eukaryota; Metazoa; Arthropoda; Insecta; Diptera; Culicidae
Exons: 3
Source: RefSeq, a predicted model, not a curated record